UUUGCUAAGUGUGAAAAGUGAAUCUGGCCCUGUUCUUACCGGAAACCAACACAUUCUCGGAGACGUUUCCGCAGCCAACAAUGUUGCACGCGCUGCAGAUUAGUUCGCCGGACAUUUCAAUGGUCGUCGACACUGUAGAGACCAGGGAAGUUACGGUUCCGCUUUCCGUGGUGUGCUGCGUGAAUAUCGCUUGAUUUAAUUAAUCGAUCGCGAUCGAUGGUUUGGUGUCAAAAGUUAAGACAUUGCGUACCGUUAAGUACUCAUGGACACCAUUCUCGCAGACAGGGAAUUUGGGACAGUUGCGGUAACUCCAGGUAAUAUUCGGCUUCGGGAACGCUGCCACGUGACAUUCUACGUUUGCCACCUGAUUAGAAACAAUGAAAAUAGCAUACCAAUUACGUCCAACGUAAAGUUCAAUGUAUCCAUUUUAUACUGAUUGCUAGCCUGGAUGGAAUAUACUCCCAUGUCAUGGAAUUCCAAACGGUUUAUUCGCAAUAUCGGCUUGCAACAUGUGACAUCGAUCGAAAAUUUAGAUUCCUCGGACGUCGACGAACUCGUGAUUUCGUCGCCGUUUGUAUUCAACCUACGAAAAAGGAAACUUUGGAUAUCAGAAUAUUGGGAGAGUGUUGGUAGACUGCAGACCUUUGUGCAAAGUGUACAUUUUCGAUAUCGAUUGGGAAAAAAAAACGGGAACUGCACAGAGAUAACGUAAUCGAGAAGUUCUUAAAGUUUUCUGCUUCGUCUACUCGUUUUCAUCGCAAACGUAUAAAAUUCGCAGACUAUCUAGAAGAAACAACUAUGGAAAGUUGAUGUGUUUAAAUGGGUGGUGUUAUUAAAUGUCUUUGUUAUAUAUACCGUAA
Megalopta genalis is the source of this 860-nucleotide non-coding RNA. Lineage: Eukaryota; Metazoa; Arthropoda; Insecta; Hymenoptera; Halictidae. The record is from RefSeq and is a predicted model, not a curated record.